Molecule: ribosomal RNA, 965 nt
Filed under: uncultured bacterium
Lineage: Bacteria
Description: bacterial SSU rRNA
Rfam family: Bacterial small subunit ribosomal RNA
Source: RNAcentral
AGAGUUUGAUCCUGGCUCAGGACGAACGCUGGCGGCGUGCUUAACACAUGCAAGUCGAACGGAAAGGCCCCUUCGGGGGUACUCGAGUGGCGAACGGGUGAGUAACACGUGGGUGAUCUGCCCUGCACUUCGGGAUAAGCCUGGGAAACUGGGUCUAAUACCGGAUAGGACCCUCCUUUAGUGUGGGGGGUGGAAAGAUUUAUCGGUGCAGGAUGAGCCCGCGGCCUAUCAGCUUGUUGGUGGGGUAAUGGCCUACCAAGGCGUCGACGGGUAGCCGGCCUGAGAGGGUGGACGGCCACAUUGGGACUGAGAUACGGCCCAGACUCCUACGGGAGGCAGCAGUGGGGAAUAUUGCACAAUGGGCGGAAGCCUGAUGCAGCGACGCCGCGUGGGGGAUGACGGCCUUCGGGUUGUAAACCUCUUUCGACAGGGACGAAGUGAAAAUGACGGUACCUGUAUAAGAAGCACCGGCUAACUACGUGCCAGCAGCCGCGGUAAUACGUAGGGUGCGAGCGUUGUCCGGAAUUACUGGGCGUAAAGAGCUCGUAGGUGGUUUGUCACGUCGUCUGUGAAAUUCCGGGGCUUAACCUCGGGCGUGCAGGCGAUACGGGCAAUACUUGAGUGCUGUAGGGGAGACUGGAAUUCCUGGUGUAGCGGUGAAAUGCGCAGAUAUCAGGAGGAACACCAAUGGCGAAGGCAGGUCUCUGGGCAGUUACUGACGCUGAGGAGCGAAAGCAUGGGUAGCGAACAGGAUUAGAUACCCUGGUAGUCCAUGCCGUAAACGGUGGGCGCUANGUGUAGGGGACUUCCACGUCUUCUGUGCCGUAGCUAACGCAUUAAGCGCCCCGCCUGGGGAGUACGGCCGCANNGCUAAAACUCAAAGGAAUUGACGGGGGNNCCGCACAAGCNGCGGANCAUGUGGAUUAAUUUNNAUGCAACGCGAAGAANCCUUACCUGGGGCUUGA